GCACUUCGGGAUAAGCCUGGGAAACUGGGUCUAAUACCGAAUAGGACCAUUUAGCGCAUGCUUUAUGGUGGAAAGCUUUUGCGGUGUGGGAUGGGCCCGCGGCCUAUCAGCUUGUUGGUGGGGUGAUGGCCUACCAAGGCGACGACGGGUAGCCGGCCUGAGAGGGUGUCCGGCCACACUGGGACUGAGAUACGGCCCAGACUCCUACGGGAGGCAGCAGUGGGGAAUAUUGCACAAUGGGCGCAAGCCUGAUGCAGCGACGCCGCGUGGGGGAUGACGGCCUUCGGGUUGUAAACCUCUUUCAGCAGGGACGAAGCGCAAGUGACGGUACCUGCAGAAGAAGCACCGGCCAACUACGUGCCAGCAGCCGCGGUAAUACGUAGGGUGCGAGCGUUGUCCGGAAUUACUGGGCGUAAAGAGCUCGUAGGUGGUUUGUCGCGUUGUUCGUGAAAUCUCACGGCUUAACUGUGAGCGUGCGGGCGAUACGGGCAGACUGGAGUACUGCAGGGGAGACUGGAAUUCCUGGUGUAGCGGUGGAAUGCGCAGAUAUCAGGAGGAACACCGGUGGCGAAGGCGGGUCUCUGGGCAGUAACUGACGCUGAGGAGCGAAAGCGUGGGGAGCGAACAGGAUUAGAUACCCUGGUAGUCCACGCCGUAAACGGUGGGUACUA
Molecule: ribosomal RNA, 671 nt
Filed under: uncultured Mycobacterium sp.
Lineage: Bacteria; Bacillati; Actinomycetota; Actinomycetes; Mycobacteriales; Mycobacteriaceae
Description: bacterial SSU rRNA
Rfam family: Bacterial small subunit ribosomal RNA
Source: RNAcentral